GUACGGGAAAAAAAUGAUAAUACCUUACUAUAAGUGUUGUCCAACAUUACUGGUGCCAGAAGACUCGGUAACGCCAGAAACGCAAACGUUAGUCGUCCUAAUCAGGCGUAAAGGGUAAGUAGGCUGCUUUAAAAGUUAUUAUUUAGAAAGCUCUUUCUUGCAGCCCUAUAAAGUUGUAAUUUAAAGUAAAUAAUAAUGAAUUAAAGCUAGAAUCAAAAAGAGGAUAAGCCAAAUAAUGUUUAGAGUAGGGAUGAAAUCCGUAGAUACUAAAUGGAAUACUAAUGGUGAAAACUUUUAUCUAAUAAUGAUUGACGCUGAGGAACGAAGGUGAGAAUAGAAAAUAGGAUUAGAGACCCAGAUAUCUCUCACUGUCAACGAUGAAUGGUGGUUGUUAGUUUUAAAAUAACUAGUACCGAUGUUAACGCGAUAACCAUUCCGCCUUGCGAGUACGGUGCAAACUGGAACCCAAAAAAAUAGUCGGUCUCGGAGCAAACGAAGUGAAGCAUGUAUUAAUUCGAUA
This 520-nucleotide ribosomal RNA is filed under the name Lycoperdon perlatum. Its description in RNAcentral is "partial small subunit ribosomal RNA". It matches the Rfam family "Bacterial small subunit ribosomal RNA", at positions 438 to 956 of the family's 1533-position model. Lineage: Eukaryota; Fungi; Basidiomycota; Agaricomycetes; Agaricales; Lycoperdaceae. The record is from RNAcentral.